Molecule: ribosomal RNA, 494 nt
Filed under: uncultured bacterium
Lineage: Bacteria
Description: partial 16S ribosomal RNA
Rfam family: Bacterial small subunit ribosomal RNA
Source: RNAcentral
GACGAACGCUGGCGGCGUGCUUAACACAUGCAAGUCGAACGGAAAGGCCUGCUUUCCCUUGUGGAUUGCGGGUACUCGAGUGGCGAACGGGUGAGUAACACGUGAGUGAUCUGCCCCCAACUUGGGUAUAAGCCUGGGAAACUGUGUCUAAUUCCCGAUAGGACUGCAGGGUGGUGCCUGUGGUGGAAAACGAUUUUCUAGUGGUUGGGGAUGAGCUCGCGGCCUAUCAGCUUGUUGGUGGGGUAAUGGCCUACCAAGGCGGCGACGGGUAGCCGGCCUGAGAGGGGGGACGGCGAAAUUGGGACAGAGAUACGGCACAGACUCCUACGGGAGGAAGGAGUGGGGAAUAUUGAACAAUGGGCGGAAGACUGAAGCAGCGACGCCGCGUGGGGGAUGACGGCAUUCGGGUUGUAAACUCCUUUCGACCGAGAGGAAGACACCUGGUUGGAAGGGUGGUGACGGUAGUGGUAGAAGAAGCACCGGCUAACUACGUG